Molecule: non-coding RNA, 23 nt
Filed under: Arabidopsis thaliana (thale cress)
Lineage: Eukaryota; Viridiplantae; Streptophyta; Magnoliopsida; Brassicales; Brassicaceae
Source: RNAcentral
UCCACAACAUGCUUGAAUGGACC